RNAcentral lists this ribosomal RNA (505 nucleotides) under Dyella sp. D236. RNAcentral's name for it is "bacterial SSU rRNA". It matches the Rfam family "Bacterial small subunit ribosomal RNA", at positions 32 to 526 of the family's 1533-position model. The record is from RNAcentral. Lineage: Bacteria; Pseudomonadati; Pseudomonadota; Gammaproteobacteria; Lysobacterales; Rhodanobacteraceae.
AACGCUGGCGGCAUGCCUAACACAUGCAAGUCGAACGGCAGCACAGCAGUAGCAAUACUGUGGGUGGCGAGUGGCGGACGGGUGAGUAAUGCAUCGGGAUCUACCCAAACGUGGGGGAUAACGUAGGGAAACUUACGCUAAUACCGCAUACGUCCUACGGGAGAAAGCGGGGGACCGAAAGGCCUCGCGCGGUUGGACGAACCGAUGUGCGAUUAGCUAGUUGGUAGGGUAAUGGCCUACCAAGGCGACGAUCGCUAGCUGGUCUGAGAGGAUGAUCAGCCACACUGGAACUGAGACACGGUCCAGACUCCUACGGGAGGCAGCAGUGGGGAAUAUUGGACAAUGGGCGCAAGCCUGAUCCAGCAAUGCCGCGUGUGUGAAGAAGGCCUUCGGGUUGUAAAGCACUUUUAUCAGGAGCGAAAUACUACUGGCUAAUAACCGGUGGGGCUGACGGUACCUGAGGAAUAAGCACCGGCUAACUUCGUGCCAGCAGCCGCGGUAAUAC